This 435-nucleotide ribosomal RNA is filed under the name uncultured eukaryote. RNAcentral's name for it is "bacterial SSU rRNA". It matches the Rfam family "Eukaryotic small subunit ribosomal RNA", at positions 592 to 1018 of the family's 1831-position model. The record is from RNAcentral.
CAAUAGCGUAUAUUAAAGUUGUUGCAGUUAAAAAGCUCGUAGUUGGAUUUCUGGCAGGAGGAGCCGGUCACACACUCUGUGCGUGAACUCGUGCUGUCUCUGGCCAUCCUCGGGGAGAUCCUGUUUGGCAUUAAGUUGUCGGGCAGGGGAUACCCGUCGUUUACUGUGAAAAAUUAGAGUGUUUAAAGCAGGCUUAUGCCGUUGAAUAUAUUAGCAUGGAAUAAUAAGAUAGGACCUUAGUACUAUUUUGUUGGUUUGCGCACUGAGGUAAUGAUUAAGAGGGACAGUUGGGGGUAGUUUGUAUUCCAUUGUCAGAGGUGAAAUUCUUGGAUUUUUGGUAAGACAAACUAACUGCGAAAGACAUUUACCUAAGGAAUGUUUUCUAUUAAUCAAGAAACGAAAAGUUAAGGGGAGUCGAAGAUGAUCAGAUACCGU